UAAUUUGAGAGUUUGAUCCUGGCUCAGGAUGAACGCUGGCGGCGUGCUUAACACAUGCAAGUCGAACGGAGUUUAUAGCCCGAA
Molecule: ribosomal RNA, 84 nt
Filed under: Anaerocolumna cellulosilytica
Lineage: Bacteria; Bacillati; Bacillota; Clostridia; Lachnospirales; Lachnospiraceae
Description: partial 16S ribosomal RNA
Rfam family: Bacterial small subunit ribosomal RNA
Source: RNAcentral